This is a long non-coding RNA of Diabrotica virgifera virgifera (western corn rootworm), 1493 nucleotides long. RefSeq lists it as uncharacterized. NCBI's taxonomy places the organism in Eukaryota, Metazoa, Arthropoda, Insecta, Coleoptera, Chrysomelidae. The record is from RefSeq and is a predicted model, not a curated record. The transcript is spliced from 2 exons.
UUGGUUAAGAUACGGCUGUUCCAAAUUUACAUACACUCGCAAUUAGUGACUCAUUGAAGCCCUUUCAACUACAGCCUUUCAAAAAUAAGCACCAUGAAACCGAUGAAACUUGCAGAUCAUAUAUAAACAAUAAAUAAGUAGAGUAACUUAUGAAGCUCUAUGAUUAAUUUCAUUUGAGAUGCUAAUUAGGAGGUUAUUUUUAAGAUUAUUUUUACAAAAAUAAGGGAUCAACUUUAUUUUGAGCGCAAUUUGUUUACCUCUGAUACUAGAAACUUUUUUAAAAAAUAUAGCUCUUUUUAGCCACAUAACAGUGAUGUUCGCAUCAGGUUCAAAGCAUAUACUACCCACAUUCGACAGAGUAUAUUCUUUUUAGUACAUGAGUAGUACAAGCAUAGCAUGUACCACAAAAAACAUUCUAAAUUUCAUAUUCUUUGCAUAUACUUUAAAGAAUAUUCUCGUACCGAAUAUACUGAGCACAUUCAUGUACGUAGUAUCUCAGAAUAUUCGUAAAAGUACUUUCUUGGAAUAUACCUUCAUGGAAUAUACUUUAAAAGUAUGUGCUUAACACAUACUUGUACGUGUGUACUUUUAAAAUAUCUUAAAAAAAUAUGUACCUACAUAUGUAUAAAUAGGAAAGGUAAUGUUAGUCUUAUAGAUUAUCAACUUUUUAUUUUUAUAAUAAUUAAUAAAAUUUAUAUACGUACAUAGGUAAUAUCCCAGAUGAAUUCAUUUCUCAAAAUUGGUUUAAUUGUAGGUAUUGUGAAAAAGUUUAAAAAUUAAUUUGUAUCGAUGCAUUUUUGCAUCGUUGGAAUUUAAAAUUUGGAAAGAAUACACCAUCACCAGAUCGUAAAAGAUCGGAAUAUUGCAAACGGAAAUGACCCUUCUCAUUCUUCCUGAAUAGGAAUUUAUAAAGGUUUUAUGAAAAUGAAAACACAAACAAACACUAAACAGGCACAGGACAUAGUGCAUAGGCAUUAUUUUUAUUUGUAUCCAAUCUAUGCUUAAUGCUGUGUUAGAAGGAAGACGAACGACACAGUAUACUAGAAACUAGGACUAGGAACAUACAUAAUACCACUAUUUUGUUUGUGGUGCUUGAAAAUAUUAAAUUCAUUUUGGUAACUCAAUAUUACUUAAAUAGUAGGUGCCGUGUCUGUAUUCAGCCAUUGGCCGUCAUCAUGUUUACACUGGACCGUGAUAGUGUGAUAGGAUCAGAACCAACUUCAAAUUGAAAGAACUCUACAAUGACAGCGAUAUUGUCCAAGAAAUUAAAUCACAGCGACUAAGAUGUGCAGGCCACGUGCACAGACUUCAUAACGAGAUACUUGUAAGACUGGUAUGCUGCCGUGCUAAGCCCAAAGGCGGGAACUGAUUUUUUAUCGUAAAUGGGAUUUUUGUAUUUUUAUGUAAAAUAGGGUAUUUAGUAUAUAUUUAUAAAGUUUUUGGAGUUGUAGAAGCAUUAUAUUUUAAAUAAAAUUGCAAUUUUGUUAGCGGUA